AGCCCAGCAUUUUGUUUGAAAUUGGAUUUCUUGUCUUUCAGUCAGGCUAAAGCUGAUGUCUGGGCAGACGCAGCCCCAAGGUUUGCCGUGUUGAGAAGAGCCCUGCAGAGCAGAGAUCACCUGCAGCAGCCCAGGGGGCUGUGGGUGUGAUGCUGUGUUUGUGCUGUGUCACGAUCCUGCAGCAAGACCUUGUCUUUGUUACCCAGUGCUGGCUUCAGAUUCUGUAGCCACCUUAAGGCUACUACUACGAAGGUCUUUUCUGCCUAGAUGGAUUCUAUGGUUCUCUGCAUACUUUGAAUUGAUGAGGAGCGUGGCACAGAGAUGGGAUGCCCUUAGGGGAAGAGAAUUACCAUCAGUUCUCACCAUGGAAGACAUGAAUCAUCCUCACCUGCUUUUCCCCUCACUGGGAGGUAGGUGCUUCACGUUGCUGAGGGUUACAGGAGGCA
This 446-nucleotide long non-coding RNA is filed under the name Catharus ustulatus (Swainson's thrush). RNAcentral describes it as "lncRNA (ENSCUSG00005016267.1)". Lineage: Eukaryota; Metazoa; Chordata; Aves; Passeriformes; Turdidae. The record is from RNAcentral.